RNAcentral lists this ribosomal RNA (117 nucleotides) under Clostridium sp. A254.MGS-251. Lineage: Bacteria; Bacillati; Bacillota; Clostridia; Eubacteriales; Clostridiaceae. The record is from RNAcentral.
UCUGGUGGCGAUGCGCUUAGGGGACACACCCGUUCCCAUCCCGAACACGAUGGUUAAGACCUAAGCGGCCGAUGGUACUUUACUGGAGACGGUACGGGAGAGUAGGUGGCUGCCAGA